Molecule: long non-coding RNA, 415 nt
Organism: Lycium ferocissimum
Lineage: Eukaryota; Viridiplantae; Streptophyta; Magnoliopsida; Solanales; Solanaceae
Exons: 3
Source: RefSeq, a predicted model, not a curated record
AAGUGUAAACCUACUAACAGAAGAUCACGUUAGAGUGUAAUGUCUUUAACUUAAAUUUUUAGCCUUUCUUUGUCAAUUUGGAGGUUCAUAUAGAAGAUACUUCAGUAGCAUCAACAUUUGCUGCAACUCAAGCACAUGAGUAUCGUGUUAGGUCCGUCCAUAUCCCUGGUGGAUAAUCGUCGUAAUCAGCAUUGUUGCGAGUUUUCAGGGUGAGCACGAGACGUUCGCUGCCUUGAAGACUCUUCCUAUUUUAUGUCUUACUAUCGCUAUUCUGAGACAUAGACAGAUUUAUGUAAUAUUAUUCCAGACUUGUAUAUUUUUCUUUAGAUGCUUUUGUAUGGCUUAGAACAGACUCUGGGGCUAAUUGUCCUUAUUCUGCACUAUUCUAUUAUAUAUCAUCGUGAGACUUACGUAA